UCAAACUUGGUCAUUUAGAGGAAGUAAAAGUCGUAACAAGGUCUCCGUUGGUGAACCAGCGGAGGGAUCAUUACCGAGUUUACACAAACUCCCAACCCUUUGUGAACCUUACCUACCGUUGCUUCGGCGGACCGCCCCGGGCGCUGCGUGCCCCGGACCCAGGCGCCCGCCGGGGACCAUUCAAACCCUGUUUUUUAACCAGUGUAUCUUCUGAGCGAGCCGAAAGGCAACAAAACAAUCAAAACUUUCAACAACGGAUCUCUUGGUUCUGGCAUCGAUGAAGAACGCAGC
RNAcentral lists this unclassified non-coding RNA (291 nucleotides) under uncultured fungus. RNAcentral's name for it is "partial contains small subunit ribosomal RNA, internal transcribed spacer 1, and 5.8S ribosomal RNA". The stretch from base 1 to 73 matches the Rfam family "Eukaryotic small subunit ribosomal RNA", at positions 1759 to 1831 of the family's 1831-position model. The record is from RNAcentral. Lineage: Eukaryota; Fungi.